RNAcentral lists this ribosomal RNA (615 nucleotides) under Rhodotorula mucilaginosa. Its description in RNAcentral is "eukaryotic LSU rRNA". It matches the Rfam family "Eukaryotic large subunit ribosomal RNA", at positions 1 to 613 of the family's 3401-position model. Lineage: Eukaryota; Fungi; Basidiomycota; Microbotryomycetes; Sporidiobolales; Sporidiobolaceae. The record is from RNAcentral.
AGUCUUCAUUUUAAGGUUAGAUCUCAAAUCAGGUAGGACUACCCGCUGAACUUUAGCAUAUCCAUAAGCGGAGGAAAAGAAACUAACAAGGAUUCCCCUAGUAGCGGCGAGCGAAGCGGGAAGAGCUCAAAUUUAUAAUCUGGCACCUUCGGUGUCCGAGUUGUAAUCUCCAGAAAUGUUUUCCGCGUUGGACCGCACACAAGUCUGUUGGAAUACAGCGGCAUAGUGGUGAGACCCCCGUAUAUGGUGCGGACGCCCAGCGCUUUGUGAUACAUUUUCGAAGAGUCGAGUUGUUUGGGAAUGCAGCUCAAAUUGGGUGGUAAAUUCCAUCUAAAGCUAAAUAUUGGCGAGAGACCGAUAGCGAACAAGUACCGUGAGGGAAAGAUGAAAAGCACUUUGGAAAGAGAGUUAACAGUACGUGAAAUUGUUGGAAGGGAAACGCUUGAAGUCAGACUUGCUUGCUGAGCAAUCGGUUUGCAGGCCAGCAUCAGUUUUCCGGGAUGGAUAAUGGUAGAGAGAAGGUAGCAGUUUCGGCUGUGUUAUAGCUCUCUGCUGGAUACAUCUUGGGGGACUGAGGAACGCAGUGUGCCUUUGGCGGGGGUUUCGACCUCUCAC